RNAcentral lists this non-coding RNA (30 nucleotides) under Mus musculus (house mouse). Lineage: Eukaryota; Metazoa; Chordata; Mammalia; Rodentia; Muridae. The record is from RNAcentral.
UGCUAGAAUUUUAAGCCUGUGCUGGUAUAC